Molecule: long non-coding RNA, 235 nt
Filed under: Brassica rapa (field mustard)
Lineage: Eukaryota; Viridiplantae; Streptophyta; Magnoliopsida; Brassicales; Brassicaceae
Description: long non-coding RNA (BRAP_LNC006742)
Source: RNAcentral
AAAAUCAGAAUAUUAUAAUAAAUAUAAAAAUUAUAUUUAGAAAUUUAUAGUUUUAAAUUUUUAAAAAUUAUUGAAAAUAUUUUUAUUUUAAAAUUGUAUAAUAUUAAUUAAAAUAUAAUAUAUAUUUUAGUAUUUUAUUAUUAUUAUUUUUUUUGACAAAAAAAUUUAAAAUUUUAUUGAAUAUUUUAUUUUUGUAUUUAUAUUGUUUAAAAAAAGAAAAAAAAUUAUCCUCCCG